CAGCCGCCGCGGUAAUACAGAGGGUGCAAGCGUUAAUCGGAUUUACUGGGCGUAAAGGGCGCGUAAGUGGUUAUUUAAGUGAGAUGUGAAAGCCCCGGGCUUAACCUGGGAACUGCAUCUUAUACUGGGUAACUGGAGUGCAGUAGAGGGUAGUGGAAUUUCCGGUGUAGCGGUGAAAUGCGUAGAUAUCGGAAGGAACACCAGUGGCGAAGGCGGCUACCUGGACUGAGACUGACACUGAGGCGCGAGAGCGUGGGGAGCAAACAGGAUUAGAUACCCCGGUAGUCCCUGUCUCUUAUAC
This 301-nucleotide ribosomal RNA is filed under the name uncultured bacterium. RNAcentral's name for it is "partial 16S ribosomal RNA". It matches the Rfam family "Bacterial small subunit ribosomal RNA", at positions 509 to 807 of the family's 1533-position model. The record is from RNAcentral.